This 478-nucleotide ribosomal RNA is filed under the name uncultured bacterium. RNAcentral's name for it is "partial 16S ribosomal RNA". It matches the Rfam family "Bacterial small subunit ribosomal RNA", at positions 28 to 507 of the family's 1533-position model. The record is from RNAcentral.
GAUGAACGCUGGCGGCGUGCUUAAUACAUGCAAGUCGAACGAGAAGAGAAGAAGGUAACCUUUGGGAGGAUGGCGUUAUAUGGAGGGGUGGAAGGGUGAGUAACGCGCGGGUAAACUGGGAUAAACAGGGGGAUCACAGUUGGAAACGGCAGAUAAUAUUGAAUAAGAUUACAGAAUAGCAAGGUGCGGGGGUAACAACUCUGGUGGUAUGAUAUGGACCCUCGUUGGAUUAGGCAGUUGGGAUGGUAACGGCCCACCAAAGCGACGAUCGAUAGCCGAUCUGUGAGGAUGGCCGGCCACUUUGGGGCUGGGACGCAGCCCAAACUCCUACGCGAGGCAGCAGUGGCGAAUAUUGCACAGUGGCGUAAGCCCUGAUGCAGCUACGCCGCGUGAAUGAAGAAAUAUUUCAGUAUGUAAUGCUCUAUCAGCAAUGAAGAUAAUGACGGUACCUAAGUAAGAAGCCCCGGCUAACUACGUG